RNAcentral lists this transfer RNA (133 nucleotides) under Dyadobacter sp. RNAcentral describes it as "tRNA-OTHER". It matches the Rfam family "tRNA". From Rfam's summary of the family: Transfer RNA (tRNA) molecules are approximately 80 nucleotides in length. Their secondary structure includes four short double-helical elements and three loops (D, anti-codon, and T loops). Lineage: Bacteria; Pseudomonadati; Bacteroidota; Cytophagia; Cytophagales; Spirosomataceae. The record is from RNAcentral.
GGUAGUGUAGCUCAGUUGGUUAGAGCAAGGGAUGUGUUUAAGUUAUGAUAAUGGGGAGGCGGUGAAACCGCUGAUGAUCUUAGUAACUGGCAUGAGUACCUAUUGGUCGAGGGUUCGAGCCCCUCCAUUACCG